RNA transcript from Xiphophorus hellerii (green swordtail), 7837 nucleotides. RefSeq lists it as uncharacterized. The transcript has 2 exons. The record is from RefSeq and is a predicted model, not a curated record. NCBI's taxonomy places the organism in Eukaryota, Metazoa, Chordata, Actinopteri, Cyprinodontiformes, Poeciliidae.
UGCCAUAAUUUAGUUGACAUGUUUUAUUUUGUAUUAUGCACAUUUUUUGUUAUUGCGACUCUUAUUUUGAAAGGUUAAAGUAGGAAGUCCAUUCCAGCAUAUUGCUAGGGAACCAGAAAAGGAAGAUGCAUGCGAUAGGAAAGCAUAGCUUUAGCAAGUGACUGUAAAAGGGUCAUUUAAGUUAAAGAAUUUAUGUAAUAACCUCAUUUCUACCUCGAAAGGAAGGGUCAGCCAGCGAGGUAUGUUUAUAUGUAAUUAUAUCAUUUUAUGUUAUCGUACUCAUGACACCGUCUCACUUAAGUUUAUGUUGUAUUUUAGUUCGACGGUGGUGUUGGUGUCAGUGGGUCAAGUGAAAUUGUAACAAGAGCAACUUUAAAGAACGACAUUAAAGCUGACUUCACACCAGCAGUACAACGAACUCUUUAUUGCCGUUAAGAAGAAGAGGUGGAAGUGAUAGUCGAACUCGGAGCUGCAUGAUUCUCGCAUCGUUGUCCCGAAGACCGGACGGUUGCAAAUGUUAACGGACACACGUUCAACGGCUACUUCUUCAUAAAGACGUCCAGAAACCAGACAUUUAAGUUCAUGUUUGGAAAGUGACACAAGGAGGGAGUAACAACAAGGAACUGUGUGAAGCCUGACAACAGCGCAACAAGGUAACGAGAAGGGAAGUAAUGCAACGAAGCUCAGAGUUAAUUUAAAUCAAGUUGAAAAGAGAUUUUCACCAAUUAAGAAGUCCAUAACAUUUCAAGUAAAACAAAAUGUCAGAAACAAAUGAUACAGAAAUAGAAGUUGCCAGUGCAGAACAAGCUGCCGAAGCAGAGCAAGUAGAUGAAACCUCUUUAGUACAACCUGGGCAAGAAGAGCUGCGAAGAAGUGAAAGACCUCGCAUGCUAACAGGAAAAGGAAAAGAAUUUCAUAAAGAAAAACUAAAAGAGCUGCAACGUCACUUUGAAAGUACUUAUGACAGAUGGAAAGCAUUAAUUAAAGUUGCUAAAAAAUCUGUUAUCAAAGGAGAUCCAGUUGACAUUCUUGAAGGUCACAUGGACAUUGUACAAAGAGAGCUAGCCGCUCUUAAUGAUAUUUAUGAUCAAUACAGAGCAAUAGAUGGACCACCUCAUGAUAUGCGUUCCAAGUUAGACAAAUGUAUAUCAGUGACUAAGGUAGUUAUGCAAAACAUCCAAUGCCAUGUUGAGGGAACAAAUAAGGAGGAGAUUGUUUGGCCUGAUGCUAGUUCUGUAUUUACAUCUUCUAGCUCAGCUAGUGUCUCAGUUCAUAGUCAUUUUAAAGCCAGUACAGUUAUCUCUAAUGGCUCCUCUGCCAAAAGACAAGAAGCUGCAGCAGAGUAUGAAGCAACAAAGGCUGUGCUUAAGAUAAUGGCUGAACAAGAGAAAUUUAGAGAAAAAAUGCAAACCAUAGAAGAAGAAGACAAAUGCAUAACCGCAGAACAAGAAGCUGCUGCGAUGUUACAACGCCAUCAAGAGGAAAGAGAGGAAACAGAACGCAAGUUAAAAAGAGAAAAGGAGAAGGCAGCUGUGAUAAAGAGACAACAAGAGGAAAGUGCUGCAAGGAAAAGGUCAGUUGAGGACUUAAAAAGGGAAAUUGAAAGACUGGAAAACCUGAAAGGACUUAAUGCAGCAAGGGCAAAAUUACAAGUUUAUGAAGAAGACUACUUUUCAGUAAAGCAAGAAAGCAUCACUCCGAAUCCUGCAAACAUACAGGUAACAGAGUUCAAGAACACUGUUAAUCAACCCACACAACCACCACAACAGUUAAAUGUCGUUCACGAGAGCACAGGUGAGCUUGUAAGGGUUUUGGCAGAAGCUAUGUCAGCUAAUAGGCUACCGAUUCCAGAGCCCUCAGUAUUUAAUGGGGAUCCACUUAAGUUUAAACAUUGGAAAGCAUCUUUUCAGACUCUAAUAGAGAGAAAGAACAUUCCCAUUGCAGAAAAAAUAUUUUUCUUGCAGAAGUAUGUAGGUGGGUGUGUUAAAGAAGCCUUAGAUGGCUAUUUUCUGAUUGGCUCUGAAGAUUCCUAUAUGGCAGCAUGGAAUAUUCUCAAUGAACGUUAUGGAGAGCCUUUUGUCAUUGCUAAGGCCUUUAGAGACAAGUUGCACACAUGGCCAAAGCUCCAAGGUAAAGACAGUGCAGAGUUAAGAAAGUUUGUGGAUUUCUUACAAAGCUGUCAAUCCGCAAUGACUACCAAUGAGAAUCUGAACAUCCUCAAUGAUGGAAUAGAGAAUCAAAGACUUGCUGCUAAACUGCCAGACUGGUUAAGCAACAGAUGGAACCGAAAGGCUACAGAGUACCAGCUGGAGCACAGACAGUUCCCACGUUUCAGUUACUUUGUAACAUUCCUGUCAAUGGAGGCAAGUAUUGCAUGUAAUCCCAUUACAUCAUAUCAAGCAAUAAGACAAAGUGACUUUGACAAACCAAGGACAAAACUUCAAAUUACACCCAUUCAUAAGAAACAAGAUACAACGAAAAUCUUCACAACUAAUUCUACAGAAAGAAGCAUGAGUUCUUGUGUGUUUUGUAAAAGAACAGGACACAGCUUACACAAAUGUCGUAAGUUCACUGAGAAACCAGUUACUGAGAGAGUCAAGUUCAUUCAAGGUGAAAAACUAUGUUUUGGCUGUUUAAAUAGUGGUCAUUUCUCCAAGAACUGCAGCGAUCGGAUGACAUGCAACACAUGCUCAAAACAACAUCCCACAUGUCUGCAUGAAGAAAGACAAAGACACGAGAUAAAGAAAGAACAACCUAAAGAACAAGAAGUAGCUGAACGGAAGGAAACCCAGCAACAGGUAACACAGUCACAAGACACAGCUAACGAAAGUACAUCCAACAGAGUGACUCAUGAAAAUAGAAACACACAGACAUCUGCAAUAGUACCUGUCUAUGUAUCCACACAAAAUGAACCAAGCAAAGAAAUACUUACGUACGCUCUGCUGGACACACAGAGUGAUUCGUCCUUUAUUCUCAAUGAAGUAGCAAACAAUCUGAACACAGCUAAAACCCAAGUUAAACUCAAAUUAUCGACGAUGUCAUCCAAGAAAACAACUGUACCAUGUACAAAACUUGAAGCUCUGCAAAUAAGAGGAUUGUUUUCCAAAAAGAAACUCACUGUGCCAGUUGCUUACACACGUGAUUUUAUACCUGCCAAUCGUAGCCAUAUUCCUACUCCAGAUACGGCAAGGUCAUGGCCACAUUUGGAGCAUCUAACUGAACAUAUUGCUCCACCAUUAGACUGUGAUAUAGGACUUCUGUUAGGCUACAACUGCACACAAGCCUUAAUGCCCAGAGAAGUCAUAUGUGGUGAAGAAAACCAGCCUUAUGCCCAGAAAACAGAUUUGGGCUGGAGCAUCAUAAGUUACUGUGAUUCGUGUGAUGCAAGCAGUGAUGUAAUUGGAGUAAGUCAUCGCAUCACUGUAAAGCAAGUAAUACCAGAGACUGAGCCAACCACAAAGCUGAAGAAUAAAGUUCAUUACAUCUGCAAGACACAAAUAAAAGAAGUAACUGGUCCAGAUGUAAUCAAAGCACUUGAAUCAGAUUUUACAGAGAGAGCAGUGGAAGAAACAAGCAUUUCACAAGAAGAUGUCUGCUUCAUAAGAAAGCUGCAAGAAGGAAUCAAACAAAAGCAGGAUGGACACUAUGAAAUGCCCCUGCCUUUCAAAAAUGACAGACCAAAUCUUCCCAACAACAUGUCAAGUGCAAUGCAACGCUUAAACAGUCUCAAACGCAGAUUCGUAAGGGAUCCAAAGUACUACUCUGAUUAUGCAAAGUUCAUGGAGGACAUUAUUGCACGCGGUGAUGCAGAGAAAGUAACGGAGAAGGAACUCUGUAAUUCCCCUGCCUGGUAUAUUCCCCACCAUGGGGUAUACCACCCUCAAAAGCCUGGCAAGAUCCGUGUAGUUUUUGACUGCUCUGCACAAUAUCGAGAUACUUCGCUAAAUGAACACCUGCUUACAGGGCCUGACCUCACAAACACUUUGGUGGGAGUACUCUGUAGGUUCAGGAAGGGCUCAGUGGCUGUAAUGUGCGACGUGGAGCGUAUGUUUCACCAGUUCCAUGUAACACCCCAAGACCAGGAUUAUUUACGCUUCCUAUGGUGGGAGCAUGGUGAUCUAAGUGUUCCCCUCUCAGUCUUUCGCAUGAAGGUUCACCUGUUUGGUGCAGCUUCUUCACCUGGUUGUGCCAAUUUUGGUUUAAAACAUCUAGCUACACAAGGUGAGGGAAGGUUCUCUCCAAACACAGUGAAGUUCAUUCAAAGAAACUUUUAUGUAGAUGAUGGACUUGUAAGUGUUACAUCUGAAGCAGAAGCAAUCAAACUAGUCAAAGAAGCAAGAGAGCUGUGUAGCACAGGUCAACUAAGAUUACACAAGUUUGUAUCAAACAGUGACAAUGUGUUAAAGUCACUGCCCAGAGAAGAGUGUGCUGACAGUAUAAAGGAUUUGGAUCUAGCACUUGGAGAACCACUGAUGGAAAGAGCACUUGGUGUUCAGUGGUGCAUUUCUUCCGAUGAGUUUCAAUUCAGAAUAACAGUCAAAGAGCACCCAAUGACAAGAAGAGGGAUCCUGUGCACAGUAGCAUCAGUGUAUGAUCCACUGGGAUUUGUGGCACCCUUCAUCCUAAAAGGAAAACAAAUCCUGCAACAGUUAUGUCAAGAGAAAGUCGGAUGGGACGAGCCUCUUUCGGAUCAGCUCUACAGAGAGUGGGAAUCCUGGCUCCUGGAUCUUCAAAACUUGUCAAAGGUGAGAAUCCAAAGAUGCAUGCUACCUGAAAACACAGACAUCACACAGUGUGAUUUACAUCAUUUUUCAGAUGCUAGUGUGACAGGCUAUGGACAAUGUAGCUAUUUAAGAACAGUCACAUCCAAAGGGGAUGUUCAUUGCGCACUAGUCAUGGGGAAGGCACGCGUUGCCCCAACCAAAGUCACUACUGUCCCUAGACUUGAGUUAACAGCUGCAGUAGUCGCAGCAAGAACAAGUGUAAUGCUAAAAGGUGAACUGGAGAUCAGCAAUCUUCAAGAACAUUUCUGGACAGACUCCAAAGUGGUGUUAGGAUAUGUGAAUAAUGAUGCCAAAAGAUUUCAUGUAUUUGUGGCAAAUAGGAUUCAAAGGAUAAAGUCACUCACAAACCCACAUCAGUGGCAUCAUGUACCAUCUGAGAAUAAUCCUGCAGACCACGCGUCAAGAGGACUAAGUGUUCAACAGCUACUCACUUCUAACUGGUUUAAAGGACCAGAGUUUUUGUGGCAAAGUGAGCUACCCAUUGAAACUGACAAGGCUAUUGAAGUUAUUCCUAAUGACCCAGAGCUGAAAACAGUACAUGUGCUCAAAACGGAAGUACAAGAAAGGAGAACAAUACUUGAUCGUCUCAAUAAAUUUUCAGACUGGAGAAGAGCUGUUAAAGCUAUUGCUCGUCUAAAGAAAUUUGUGAGAGAUUUUAAAGGAGACACACAACCAAAGGGUGGAAACACAUGUAUUGAAGACAGGCGAGAAGCAGAACUGUUCAUAAUAAAACUUGCACAAGAAAACACCUUCAGCAAGGAAAUCAAGGACUUAACCCAAGGAAAGGACAUUCAACUCAAGGAUAAGACACACAGGCUGUAUAGCUUAAACCCAUUUGUUGAUGAGCAAGGAGUACUCAGGGUGGGAGGACGUUUAACAAGAGCAAGUCUGCACCCUUACAUCAAACAUCCUGCCAUUAUCCCCAAAUCAAGUCAUGUGUCGUCUUUGCUGAUUAAACACUUCCAUGAAAAGGUGCAGCAUCAAGGAAGAGGAAUUACUGUCAACGAGCUGCGUUCCAAUGGACUGUGGAUCACAGGAUGCAGCAGUGCAGUUGCUUCACACAUCUACAAGUGCACAACUUGCAGAAAGUACAGGAGACAUACCCAAGAUCAACAGAUGUCAGAUCUACCAGAGGACAGAAUGGAAACAACACCCCCAUUCUCUUACUGUGGUAUUGACUGUUUUGGACCUUUUUAUGUAAAAGAAGGCAGAAAGGAACUUAAAAAGUAUGGACUUUUGUUUACAUGUAUGUGUUCCAGGGCAAUACAUGUUGAAAUGUUAGACGACCUUACUACUGAUGCUUUUAUUAAUGCAUUGCGUUGUUUGAUUUCUAUUCGUGGACAUAUAAGACAAAUAAGGUGUGACCAAGGGACUAAUUUUAUUGGUGCUAAGGGAGAGUUUUUGAAUGCACUGAAGGACUGUGACAAAGAGCAGUUGAAACAAUAUGGAUGUGAGUUUGUUCUGAACACUCCAUCCUCAAGCCACAUGGGAGGUGUUUGGGAGAGGCAGAUUAGGACCAUUAGAAGCGUUUUAACUGCUAUUCUGGAUAAAACUUCUAAGAGACUUGAUAGUUCUUCCCUCAGAACGUUUCUGUAUGAGGUGAUGGCUAUUGUGAAUAGCAGGCCGUUAACAGUAGAAAACCUGAGUGAUUCAAGUUUAGAGCCUCUUACACCGAAUCAUAUUCUCAUGAUGAAGUCCAGUGUUAUUCUACCUCCUCCUGGUGAAUUUGUGAGUCAGGACUUGUACCUGAGAAAGAGAUGGCGCCAAGUUCAGUUUUUAGCCAAUGAAUUCUGGACAAGGUGGAAGAAGGAAUAUCUUCUUACUCUUCAACAGAGACAAAUCUGGCAAAGAAACAAAAGGAAUGCAAAGCUGAACGACAUUGUUAUUCUUCAAGAGGACAGUUCUCCAAGGAACAAGUGGAAACUGGCAAGAGUAACAGAGGUAUAUCCAAGCACAGAUGGAAGGAUCAGGAAGGUGAAGCUGUUGCUCAGUGACUCGACCUUGGACAAGGAUGGCAAAAGGACUGUCAAGCCAGUGUAUCUUGAUAGACCAGUUCACAAAACUGUGUUGUUACUGGAAGCAGAGUGAAUGCUAAAAUGUACAUAUAUUCCUAUUGUUAUGUUAUAUGUUUCAAGUGAAAUCACCAUAGGUUAGUGAUUUGGUGGGAGUUUUACUGCCAUAAUUUAGUUGACAUGUUUUAUUUUGUAUUAUGCACAUUUUUUGUUAUUGCGACUCUUAUUUUGAAAGGUUAAAGUAGGAAGUCCAUUCCAGCAUAUUGCUAGGGAACCAGAAAAGGAAGAUGCAUGCGAUAGGAAAGCAUAGCUUUAGCAAGUGACUGUAAAAGGGUCAUUUAAGUUAAAGAAUUUAUGUAAUAACCUCAUUUCUACCUCGAAAGGAAGGGUCAGCCAGCGAGUUCGACGGUGGUGUUGGUGUCAGUGGGUCAAGUGAAAUUGUAACAAGAGCAACUUUAAAGAACGACAUUAAAGCUGACUUCACACCAGCAGUACAACGAACUCUUUAUUGCCGUUAAGAAGAAGAGGUGGAAGUGAUAGGUAUAAUGUUGCUGUUUCUGCUGCUGACGGUCCUGGAGGUCUGAGUUUAUCUGAGACUGUAGCUGUUAAGGUUAAACAUGCUUCUCUGUAGAUCAGUGUUUCCCAACCCUGGUCCUCAAGGCACACUGUCCUACAUGUUUUAGAGUUUUCCCUGCUUUAAUGUGCCCGAUUCAACUGAUUGCAGUUCAACAAAUGCCUGUUAAUUAGUCAUCAAUUAAAAUCAGCUGAACUGAAGCAAGGAAAUACCUAAAACAUGCAGGGCAGUGAGCCUGGAGGACCAGGGUUGGGAAACACUGCUGUAGGGUUUACCGUGCUUCAUCGUGGGUUCAUUGUGCUUCUCUGUUGGGGCAAAACAUUGAGGGACACGUAGCUGAAAGGUACGGAGCCCUCCAGGGGACAUGGGAAAUUUUCUUAUUUUGCGUUCCCUCGCAAUACUGUACUGAUCAGUUCAUGCGGCAUAAUUGAAUACUGUAAGCCUUUCUUACGGUGGGCGCCGUACUU